This is a long non-coding RNA of Medicago truncatula (barrel medic), 616 nucleotides long. RefSeq lists it as uncharacterized. The transcript is spliced from 3 exons. Lineage: Eukaryota; Viridiplantae; Streptophyta; Magnoliopsida; Fabales; Fabaceae. The record is from RefSeq and is a predicted model, not a curated record.
AUGAUCCAAACUCAAUGUAACAACCUCUAUAUAUAGCGUAAAACAAACACUGAAUUUUCAUAACAACUUCAUUUCUUUUAUUCUUACCAAUAUCCUCUUCAUCAAUCUCAUUGUAACAUGCUGGAAAUUCUUCCACAUGGACUGGUUCACGAUCUACACACCGAUGGUUAAUUUUCCAUGGGCUGAAGUUCCAUUUCCCAAAUCUAUCAUUGCGAGUACAAUUGGAUUGUUGCAAUGAUUGCGAUUUUUGUCAUGGAUUGAAAUUGAAGAGAAGAUUAUUGUAACAGAAGUGUUGUUAUGAAUUUCAUUACAUGAUGAUGAUGAUGAUUCUGUGAUUGUGGACCGACCUUUGCCAUGACAGGUGCGCUUGCAUGGCACGUCAAAAAAAUGAAUAAAAAAAAUAUUUUGUUGUUUCUGAGGAAGAUCGCACGGGAAUUGCCCGGGAUCUUCCUCAGGUGUGGUGGUGUGUGUGAUCUUCUUUUUCUUCUUGUUGUGCUUUAAUUUAUCUUUAUUGAUAUACCACGCAUAGCAAAGAAACAAAUGAUAACACUGAUCGCAAAGGAUUUAUCACCAUCACUGAAUUUUCUCCGUUGCUGAUUGAUUAAGGUAUCAUUUA